UGAAUGACCCUUGUAAAAACACUGUGAAAUGCAAAUUUAAUUUGCUAAAUGAUUCGCCCAGGCAGACAGAUCUGGGAAACUUGUUUUGCUUAAUGAGAAUUUUGUCUACCACUUGCCCACUUGUUUGCCCGUGUUGGACAGUGACGGUCCCCCGAUGUGCAAUGGCCACGACUGUCCCACAAGGUGUCGGGUGCAACUGGCCUGGAGCUUAUUCGCAUAUGCGAGU
Molecule: long non-coding RNA, 226 nt
Organism: Drosophila miranda
Lineage: Eukaryota; Metazoa; Arthropoda; Insecta; Diptera; Drosophilidae
Exons: 3
Source: RefSeq, a predicted model, not a curated record